UGAGUGCUUUGAACAAAUGGGAUGUGA
This 27-nucleotide small RNA is filed under the name Bombyx mori (domestic silkworm). RNAcentral's name for it is "ovarian small RNA-32281". The record is from RNAcentral. Lineage: Eukaryota; Metazoa; Arthropoda; Insecta; Lepidoptera; Bombycidae.